AGAGUUUGAUCAUGGCUCAGGAUGAACGCUAGCUACAGGCUUAACACAUGCAAGUCGAGGGGCAGCAUGUUGGUUGCUUGCAACCAAUGAUGGCGACCGGCGCACGGGUGAGUAACGCGUAUCCAACCUACCCUUGUCCAUCGGAUAACCCGUCGAAAGGCGGCCUAACACGAUAUGCGGUUCUCAGCAGGCAUCUAACGAGAACGAAAUGUGAAGGAGAAGGAUGGGGAUGCGUCUGAUUAGCUUGUUGGCGGGGUAACGGCCCACCAAGGCGACGAUCAGUAGGGGUCUGAGAGGAGGUCCCCCAAUUGGAACUGAGACACGGUCCAAACGUCCUACGGGAGGCA
Molecule: ribosomal RNA, 347 nt
Filed under: uncultured bacterium
Lineage: Bacteria
Description: bacterial SSU rRNA
Rfam family: Bacterial small subunit ribosomal RNA
Source: RNAcentral